Molecule: long non-coding RNA, 228 nt
Filed under: Mytilus galloprovincialis (Mediterranean mussel)
Lineage: Eukaryota; Metazoa; Mollusca; Bivalvia; Mytilida; Mytilidae
Source: RNAcentral
GUCUUAAGGAAAUGAUGAUAGUCCGUCUGAAGGGGACGAUAAAUGGCUGACCCGUGUUAAGAGAGAGCCAUAUCUCUUGCAUGUUAAAGACACCCUUGUAGAUUUCGAAAAAGAGUAGGCUAAUGCCGCUACAAGGCAGCACUCGCACCCGCAAAGUGGAAAGGGAUUAAUAUAAGUUGCAAAACUUGUUUCCCAAUCCACUAUAAAUAAAUAUGUUUAAACUAAUGC